This 404-nucleotide ribosomal RNA is filed under the name uncultured bacterium. RNAcentral describes it as "bacterial SSU rRNA". It matches the Rfam family "Bacterial small subunit ribosomal RNA", at positions 430 to 826 of the family's 1533-position model. The record is from RNAcentral.
GCACUUUAAGCAGUGAAGAAGACUCCAUGGUUAAUACCCAUGGACGAUGACAUUAGCUGCAGAAUAAGCACCGGCUAACUCUGUGCCAGCAGCCGCGGUAAUACAGAGGGGGCAAGCGUUAAUCGGAAUUACUGGGCGUAAAGGGAGCGUAGGUGGCUCGAUAAGUCAGAUGUGAAAUCCCCGGGCUCAACCUGGGAACUGCAUCUGAUACUGUUGAGCUAGAGUAUGUGAGAGGAAGGUAGAAUUCCAGGUGUAGCGGUGAAAUGCGUAGAGAUCUGGAGGAAUACCGAUGGCGAAGGCAGCCUUCUGGCAUAAUACUGACACUGAGGCUCGAAAGCGUGGGCAGCAAACAGGAUUAGAUACCCUGGUAGUCCACGCCGUAAACGAUGUCUACUAGUCGUUGG